GCAUUGGUGGUUCAGUGGUAGAAUUGUCACCUUCCACGCGGGAGACCCGAGUUCAAUUCCUGGUCAGGGCA
Loxodonta africana (African savanna elephant) is the source of this 71-nucleotide transfer RNA. It matches the Rfam family "tRNA". Rfam says of the family: Transfer RNA (tRNA) molecules are approximately 80 nucleotides in length. Lineage: Eukaryota; Metazoa; Chordata; Mammalia; Proboscidea; Elephantidae. The record is from Rfam.